Molecule: non-coding RNA, 878 nt
Organism: Podarcis lilfordi (Lilford's wall lizard)
Lineage: Eukaryota; Metazoa; Chordata; Lepidosauria; Squamata; Lacertidae
Source: the annotation of a GenBank genome assembly
CGCCGUUUACCUUCCAGCCGGAGUGGUACCUAUUUAUCUACUUGCACUCUCAUGUGCUUUUGAACUGCUAGGUUGGCAAGAGCAGGGACCGAGCAACGGGAGCUCACCCUGUCGUGGGGAUUCGAACCGCCGACCUUCUGAUCGGCAAGUCCUAGGCUCUGUGGUUUAACCCACAGCGCCACCCGUGUCCUUACGUCUCGCUAAAGGGGCAGCCGAACAUUUCCUUUAGAUCAAAAGUACACCUUCUUGGGAAAGCUUUUAAAAUAGCAUGCCCCCGCAACAAUAUUUUAAAUGAAAAGGUUCUUGCCCACACCAGUUUUUGCAUACAUCAAGAAAGCCUUAAGUGCUUUACAAGUAUUUAAAUUAACAUAAUAGAUCACCUCCUCAAAAUGAAUAUAAAAACUAACACUUCACACAUCAUGACAGAAGAAGCAGCCCUUUGCAUCUGUGUCAGAAUGACAUAUGGCACUUGAGAGUGGCCAGUUUUAAAUACCAGUGGCAAAAAAAUAACAGUUAUAUACAUCUAAAUCCUGAUAUAAAUAAAGCUUUGAACAUAACACACCUAAAAAAAGUCCUCAACCACAGAAGAGUAUAAAAAUAAUAAAAUACUAAAUGUUAUAUUCACAAUGAGAUGCACAUAACAUUUUGAAACCAGCCCAUUGUUCUUAACAUGAAGCCAUGGUCUGCUUAUCUUAGCUGUAGUUUGUUAACCCACCUCAGUCAACUAUCUAUGGUUUGCCUGUGGCCACCAAACCAGAAUAUGAAACUAUGGUUUGAAGUUGGCUUACAAACUUUGGCUUCCGCUAACCAUAGUUUCUUGCUACGCCUACUAUCCUGGCGUAAUCCUGGAUUAUUUUGGUGCCCCUCCCCAGAUAGGA